RNAcentral lists this ribosomal RNA (493 nucleotides) under uncultured bacterium. RNAcentral describes it as "partial 16S ribosomal RNA". It matches the Rfam family "Bacterial small subunit ribosomal RNA", at positions 28 to 507 of the family's 1533-position model. The record is from RNAcentral.
GACGAACGCUGGCGGCGUGCUUAACACAUGCAAGUCGAACGGUGAAGCACCUUCCUUUUGGUGGGUGUGGAUGAGUGGCGAACGGGUGAGUAACACGUGAGUAACCUGCCCCCUUCUUCUGGAUAACCGCAUGAAAGUGUGGCUAAUACGGGAUAUUCUGGGUCUGUCGCAUGGCGGGCCUGGGAAAGAUAUUGUUUCGGUGGGGGAUGGGCUCGCGGUCUAUCAGCUUGUUGGUGGGGUGAUGGCCUACCAAGGCGGUGACGGGUAGCCGGCCUGGGAGGGUGGACGGUCACACUGGGACUGAGACACGGCCCAGACUCCUACGGGAGGCAGCAGUGGGGAAUAUUGCACAAUGGGCGCAAGCCUGAUGCAGCGCCGCCGCGUGAGGGAUGGAGGCCUUCGGGUUGUAAACCUCUUUCGCCAGUGAAGCAGGCCUGUCCCUUUUGUGGGUGGGUUGACGGUAGCUGGAUAAGAAGCGCCGGCUAACUACGUG